RNAcentral lists this ribosomal RNA (245 nucleotides) under uncultured Tissierellia bacterium. RNAcentral describes it as "partial 16S ribosomal RNA". It matches the Rfam family "Bacterial small subunit ribosomal RNA", at positions 524 to 769 of the family's 1533-position model. The record is from RNAcentral. Lineage: Bacteria; Bacillati; Bacillota; Tissierellia.
UACGUAGGGGGCGAGCGUUGUCCGGAAUUAUUGGGCGUAAAGGGUUCGCAGGCGGUCUGAUAAGUCAGAUGUGAAAGGCUAUGGCUUAACCAUAGUAAGCAUUUGAAACUGUCAGACUUGAGUUAAGGAGAGGAAAGUGGAAUUCCUAGUGUAGCGGUGAAAUGCGUAGAUAUUAGGAGGAAUACCAGUGGCGAAGGCGACUUUCUGGACUUAAACUGACGCUGAGGAACGAAAGCGUGGGGAGC